RNAcentral lists this ribosomal RNA (397 nucleotides) under uncultured bacterium. RNAcentral's name for it is "bacterial SSU rRNA". It matches the Rfam family "Bacterial small subunit ribosomal RNA", at positions 521 to 916 of the family's 1533-position model. The record is from RNAcentral.
UAAUACGUAGGGUGCGAGCGUUAAUCGGAAUUACUGGGCGUAAAGUGUGCGCAGGCGGCGUUGCAAGUCGAGUGUGAAAUCCCUGGGCUUAACUUGGGAACUGCGCUCGAAACUACGAUGCUGGAGUGUGGCAGAGGAAGGUGGAAUUCCACGUGUAGCGGUGAAAUGCGUAGAGAUGUGGAGGAACACCGAUGGCGAAGGCAGCCUUCUGGGCCAACACUGACGCUCAUGCACGAAAGCGUGGGGAGCAAACAGGAUUAGAUACCCUGGUAGUCCACGCCCUAAACGAUGAUGACUAGUUGUUGGGGGAGUUAAAUCCCUUAGUAACGCAGCUAACGCGUGAAGUCAUCCGCCUGGGGAGUACGGUCGCAAGAUUAAAACUCAAAGGAAUUGACGG